This 484-nucleotide ribosomal RNA is filed under the name uncultured bacterium. Its description in RNAcentral is "partial 16S ribosomal RNA". It matches the Rfam family "Bacterial small subunit ribosomal RNA", at positions 28 to 507 of the family's 1533-position model. The record is from RNAcentral.
AUUGAACGCUGGCGGCAUGCUUUACACAUGCAAGUCGAACGGCAGCGCGGGCUUCGGCCUGGCGGCGAGUGGCGGACGGGUGAGUAAUGCAUCGGAACGUGCCCAGUAGUGGGGGAUAGCCCGGCGAAAGCCGGAUUAAUACCGCAUACGACCUGAGGGUGAAAGCGGGGGACCGAAAGGCCUCGCGCUAUUGGAGCGGCCGAUGUCGGAUUAGCUAGUUGGUGGGGUAAAGGCUUACCAAGGCGACGAUCCGUAGCUGGUCUGAGAGGACGACCAGCCACACUGGGACUGAGACACGGCCCAGACUCCUACGGGAGGCAGCAGUGGGGAAUUUUGGACAAUGGGGGCAACCCUGAUCCAGCCAUGCCGCGUGCGGGAAGAAGGCCUUCGGGUUGUAAACCGCUUUUGUUCGGGAAGAAAUCCUCUGGGCUAAUACCCCGGGGGGAUGACGGUACCGGAAGAAUAAGCACCGGGUAACUACGUG